Molecule: ribosomal RNA, 502 nt
Filed under: Anaerostipes caccae
Lineage: Bacteria; Bacillati; Bacillota; Clostridia; Lachnospirales; Lachnospiraceae
Description: bacterial SSU rRNA
Rfam family: Bacterial small subunit ribosomal RNA
Source: RNAcentral
GAUUUCCUAUAUGACUGAGUGGCGGACGGGUGAGUAACGCGUGGGGAACCUGCCCUAUACAGGGGGAUAACAGCUGGAAACGGCUGCUAAUACCGCAUAAGCGCACAGAAUCGCAUGAUUCAGUGUGAAAAGCCCUGGCAGUAUAGGAUGGUCCCGCGUCUGAUUAGCUGGUUGGUGAGGUAACGGCUCACCAAGGCGACGAUCAGUAGCCGGCUUGAGAGAGUGAACGGCCACAUUGGGACUGAGACACGGCCCAAACUCCUACGGGAGGCAGCAGUGGGGAAUAUUGCACAAUGGGGGAAACCCUGAUGCAGCGACGCCGCGUGAGUGAAGAAGUAUUUCGGUAUGUAAAGCUCUAUCAGCAGGGAAGAAAACAGACGGUACCUGACUAAGAAGCCCCGGCUAACUACGUGCCAGCAGCCGCGGUAAUACGUAGGGGGCAAGCGUUAUCCGGAAUUACUGGGUGUAAAGGGUGCGUAGGUGGCAUGGUAAGUCAGAAGUG